Molecule: long non-coding RNA, 367 nt
Organism: Microplitis mediator
Lineage: Eukaryota; Metazoa; Arthropoda; Insecta; Hymenoptera; Braconidae
Exons: 3
Source: RefSeq, a predicted model, not a curated record
GACUAAAUAAGUAAGUAUUUGCAUUUAAUUUUUACAACAACUUUAUUUCCAUCGACUGGUUCACGUUUCAAGACCCUAAGAUGUCGUCUAAAAUUUUGAUACUGUCCAUUCUGGUAUUUUUCGGAAUUUUCGGUAUGGCCGUUGCAGAAUAUCUUGAAGAGGGUUGCGUCGGUAGAUGGUGUCAUCCUUCAUGCGGUCAUUGGUGCUGCUAUGGUCAUGUGUGUAACGCUUGGCCAUUCCAACAAGGAAAGUGUAAAAAAGGAACGUAAAUCCCAAUACAUUUUCAGAGAACACUGAAUAUUUUUAUGCCAAUUGUUGGUAAAAACUGAUUUUAAAAAUAUUAAUAAAAGUUAUCAUUAAAAAUAUA